This 391-nucleotide ribosomal RNA is filed under the name Lobophora dimorpha. Its description in RNAcentral is "LSU rRNA". It matches the Rfam family "Eukaryotic large subunit ribosomal RNA", at positions 80 to 460 of the family's 3401-position model. The record is from RNAcentral. Lineage: Eukaryota; Phaeophyceae; Dictyotales; Dictyotaceae.
UCAGUAACGGCGAGUGAAGCGGGAAGAGCUCAUGUUUGAAAUCCAGCUCCCUCGGGGGGCUGGAAUUGUAACCUAGAGGAGCGAGAUCGCCUGCCGGCAGGGCCGCGGCUAAGUCCGAUUUGAAAAGGGUACCAAGGAGGGUGGCAGUCCCGUUCAUGCCGCAGUCCGGCCGGCGUAUGGCCCGCUUCCAACGAGUCGAGUUGCUUGGGAUUGCAGCUCAAAGUGGGUGGUAAACUCCAUCCAAAGCUAAACACGUAUGGGAGACCGAUAGCGAACAAGUACCGUGAGGGAAAGAUGCAAAGAACUUUGAAAAGAGAGUCAAAGAGUGCCUGAAAUUGCUGAGAGGGAAGCGAAGGAAAUUAGUGUCAGUCGAGGGGAUCUCGUAUCGGGG